AGGUGGUACAGAUGAUGAUGAUGAUGGUUUAUCUAAUGGCAAGUAGUUAGAGAUGGCCGAUGAGAUGGUAGUAGACUGGUCUGUGACCAUGACCUCUGUUUCAGACCAGUCUACUACCAUCUCAUCAGCCAUCUCUAACUACUUGCCAUUAGAUAAACCAUCAUCAUCAUCAUCUGUA
This 178-nucleotide small RNA is filed under the name Mytilus galloprovincialis (Mediterranean mussel). Lineage: Eukaryota; Metazoa; Mollusca; Bivalvia; Mytilida; Mytilidae. The record is from RNAcentral.